Molecule: transfer RNA, 93 nt
Filed under: Dipodomys ordii (Ord's kangaroo rat)
Lineage: Eukaryota; Metazoa; Chordata; Mammalia; Rodentia; Heteromyidae
Rfam family: tRNA
About the family: Transfer RNA (tRNA) molecules are approximately 80 nucleotides in length. Their secondary structure includes four short double-helical elements and three loops (D, anti-codon, and T loops). Further hydrogen bonds mediate the characteristic L-shaped molecular structure. tRNAs have two regions of fundamental functional importance: the anti-codon, which is responsible for specific mRNA codon recognition, and the 3' end, to which the tRNAs corresponding amino acid is attached (by aminoacyl-tRNA synthetases). tRNAs cope with the degeneracy of the genetic code in two manners: having more than one tRNA (with a specific anti-codon) for a particular amino acid; and 'wobble' base-pairing, i.e. permitting non-standard base-pairing at the 3rd anti-codon position.
Source: Rfam by way of RNAcentral
CCUUCGAUAGCUCAGUUGGUAGAGCGGAGGACUGUAGACUGGACACCCAGCCGCGGCCAUCCUUAGGUCGCUGGUUCGAUUCUGCUGGAAGGA